AUUGAACGCUGGUGGCAGGCCUAACACAUGCAAGUCGGACGGUAGCACAGAGGAGCUUGCUCCUCGGGUGACGAGUGGCGGACGGGUGAGUAAUGUCUGGGGAUCUGCCCGAUAGAGGGGGAUAACCACUGGAAACGGUGGCUAAUACCGCAUAACGUCGCAAGACCAAAGAGGGGGACCUUCGGGCCUCUCACUAUCGGAUGAACCCAGAUGGGAUUAGCUAGUAGGCGGGGUAACGGCCCACCUAGGCGACGAUCCCUAGCUGGUCUGAGGGGAUGACCAGCCACACUGGAACUGAGACACGGUCCAGACUCCUACGGGAGGCAGCAGUGGGGAAUAUUGCACAAUGGGCGCAAGCCUGAUGCAGCCAUGCCGCGUGUAUGAAGAAGGCCUUCGGGUUGUAAAGUACUUUCAGCGGGGAGGAAGGCGAUGUGGUUAAUAACCGCAUUGAUUGACGUUACCCGCAGAAGAAGCACCGGCUAACUCCGUGCCAGCAGCCGCCGCCG
This 506-nucleotide ribosomal RNA is filed under the name uncultured bacterium. RNAcentral's name for it is "partial 16S ribosomal RNA". It matches the Rfam family "Bacterial small subunit ribosomal RNA", at positions 29 to 523 of the family's 1533-position model. The record is from RNAcentral.